GGGGGCGGUUUCAUAGGGGCGGUUAUAUGAAAAGCCCCUAUGAUUUAUAAUUUAAAAACUGGACCAUUCUGUUGGGGCGGAAUUCGAAUUCACCGCUAUUGCUGUGUUCUAUAGGGGCGGGUGUAUAAAUCUAGGGGCGGUUUGUAAAAUAAGAUCUAACCCAAACGAAUCAAAUGUUUUCCCCCUCUUCUUCUCGUCGGCCUCUCAUCCUCUCAACUCAAACACGGUAGCAAUGGUGACCUAGCAGCUGAUUCACUUCACUCUAAUGGCGAAUCUAUUCACUCACUUCACUCAAAUGGCGAAUCUGAUUCACUUCACUCCAUUAGCAGCUGAAUUGCUCACUUCACUUAGGUUUUAGGUUUCUGAUUUGUUCACUUCACUCCAUUAGCAGCUGAAUUGCUCUCUCUUAGGAAUCUUCGGCUUCUCAUCCUCGCGAACACUAGCAGCAGCGAAUCUCAUAUCAAUGAGAGGUUUUCAAGAGUGGGCCACUGUUCAUACUCUUCAACUAGCUCCUUCCGUAGGUUAAGACAUCUUGCAGGGACCAAAUAUUUUCAGACUCUCCUCUCUUUUUCUUAGUCGGUUUUCUCAACUAAUUCAGAAAUUAAAUUUCACGGCUGCUAGUGUCACCACAAUUGGAUGUUCCCUUGGAGAUAAAGCUAAGCAGCUGCAGGCAGAACGCAGUGAAGGUUCUAGUACGAAUUUAGCUAAAGUGAAUGAAGAGAUCUUUCAAGAGCUAAUGGGUGCAGAGCAUAAUGGGAGAGUACGUGGUUUGGGUUCUGGAGUCACUCCUACAAGGUAUUUUGGAUCGACUAGGUAUGAUAUUGGAGGAAGAUGCCAUAACACUACAAAUGUAUGUCAGUCAGAAGAGGUUAAAGAUCUUAAGGAACAACUAUAUAGUAUGUCUAAAACCGUGGAUGCUUUAAAAGCGUUUAUCAACAAGCAAUUUCCAGGACAAUGGACAUCUACAGGAGUUGAUAAUCAUCCGGAUGGUCAUUCUUCAAGUUAAUCAGUUUGGAAUUCAACUCAGUUUAGCAACAUUCAGCAGGCACACCAUUGUUUGCAGUGUGAUUAUCUAGGACAAUUUUUGUUGAUUAUCUUAAUACUUUGUUAUUAGUUGUGUUAUUCAGAUAUUGAUUAUAAACACUUUUAUUAGAAUCAAUUUUGGGUCUAAAUAGAAAUAUUUGCAAAUGGUUAUGAUCAGUAAAGAAAUUGUUUUGGUA
This is a long non-coding RNA of Mercurialis annua (annual mercury), 1220 nucleotides long. RefSeq lists it as uncharacterized. Lineage: Eukaryota; Viridiplantae; Streptophyta; Magnoliopsida; Malpighiales; Euphorbiaceae. The record is from RefSeq and is a predicted model, not a curated record. The transcript is spliced from 5 exons.